Molecule: antisense RNA, 81 nt
Filed under: Escherichia coli
Lineage: Bacteria; Pseudomonadati; Pseudomonadota; Gammaproteobacteria; Enterobacterales; Enterobacteriaceae
Also listed under: 1 other name
Description: partial antisense sRNA RprA
Rfam family: RprA RNA
About the family: Translational regulation of the stationary phase sigma factor RpoS is mediated by the formation of a double-stranded RNA stem-loop structure in the upstream region of the rpoS messenger RNA, occluding the translation initiation site.
Source: RNAcentral
UAAGCAUGGAAAUCCCCUGAGUGAAACAACGAAUUGCUGUGUGUAGUCUUUGCCCAUCUCCCACGAUGGGCUUUUUUUUAA